Long non-coding RNA from Brienomyrus brachyistius, 6074 nucleotides. RefSeq lists it as uncharacterized. Lineage: Eukaryota; Metazoa; Chordata; Actinopteri; Osteoglossiformes; Mormyridae. The record is from RefSeq and is a predicted model, not a curated record. The transcript is spliced from 2 exons.
AUGUCAGGAAGUGAAACCCCAUAAUGAAAAGCAAGCGAUUCCCUCCCGGACAUCCAGGGUGGUCCGGAACACGGAGGAGCGAGCGCGACCUUCGCGGGUGGAACGGGCGUCCUGCAUGUGUCCACAGGGCUGUGUGCAUGGUCACCGUGUCCUGAUUAAGAGAUGUCCACAGAUGGAGAAGGUCCCUCUUACCUCCAAGAGCAGAUUCAGCACUUGCUCCCACUGAACUGGUGGGUCUCACCGGAUACUCAAUGUAGGUAUGGCGCCAAACCCGAUGCAGACUCAGAAUCAGAAUCAGAAUUCUUCAUUGUCAUCGCACUGUUGCACAUACAAUGAAAAAAUCACUUUAAGAGUCGAUAAGAGUCACUCUUAAAAGUGGCAUCGGGAAACAACGACAAAAAACACACGUCAAAGGUCAGUUACAGUGACAGUAAAUAAACGCUAAACAACAACAACAAUCAAUAAAUAAAGCAACACCUGGAUUUAUGGUAAUAAAUAAUGUCACAGUGUAAAGUGGCAAGUGUGUAAACAAACUGUCAUGUGUAAACAACAGCUAGCUAGCUGCUUUAAUGGUCUUGGAGUCUGGCCACUCUUGGAAAGUGGCUGUUUUCAGCCUUGUGGUUUGUGUCUGUAUGGCCCUGUAGUGUUUGCCUGAAGAUAAGGAGGCAGACAGGUGACGUCUGGGGCGAGUGGAAUCUCACGAGAACCUGGACCUUGUACAGUCCGUUGUACCUGAUGUCCGAAACACUAGGUUGCCUAUUUUGACAUAAAAUUCCUGUUUUCAGCGCCAGAUACUACUGGAAUAUUUCCAAGCUGCUGCUGUGAUUAACACGUUAUGUAAAGUUUUCACAGCUUACAAUAACUAAGGUCGAGUGUAGCAUGCUGUUUGUCAGCAUCUAGGCUUGAGAUUUCGAUCUCGAAAUAGGUGGUGUUAUAACUUCACACCUUGAGGGUAUAACAUCCUUAUCCCACCCAUGGCUGGGUGUGUAGAGUUUCCAUGCUCUCCCUGCGUUUGUGUGGGUUUCCUCUGGGUGCUUCAGAAUCCUCCAGCAGCUCAAAGACAGUGAGACGAACUGUUGUCUGUAAAUCAUAUGUGCAUCCUGCCUUGUGCUCGGUGGUUCCUGAAAUGUGGUUCCUGAACUCCAGGCUCAUCUUGACGUUACGCUGCAUUAGUGCUAUGGAUAGAUGUGUCAGUUUUUUUCCGGGAUGUUCGAGCUAUUAAAUGUUUAAAUCUACAAAGUUUAUGAAUCCAGGUACUAACGUUGACAAAAUAUUUCAGCAUUUCACAGAAGCAUGACUGUGUUAGAAAGCUUAAAUCUGUCGUGUGGGAGCAAGCCUGCUUAGGGAUGACUGUGUGAUAAUGUACGGUGUCCUGUCUGCUUUCAGCAGUUUACAGUAAACUGCACUGUCAGAUUCACCAGAAACCAGCUCAGGGCUGUAGGCCUCACUCUAUAUACCCCAGCAACCAGCCUUUGACAGGGAUUAAUAAGGGGUUUUGCUAUCAGGUUUUGGCCAGAAAUCUGUAACAGAUCUUUACAUAAUUCAGGGGGAAAAGAUGCUUUAAAAACAUGUUUCAAAUUAGUCCAAUACAAAUUCUGCAUCUGGAGCAAUUUUCAUGGAUGGUUUUGAGUGAUGUGUAACUAACUGAAUGACAUGGUGAACAUAAAUGACUAAAAUGUUAUGAGGGUAGAACAGAAAAUGAUUGGUUCAGAGGGAUAACCAAUCAGACUGCAGAGGAGGUGGGUCCAAGCAACUAGAUGCAGAAUCCCAGAUAUCUGAUUGGUUGGUCUCACCUUCUUUAGUUACUGGAACCCACCUCCUCUAGAAUCUGAUUGGUUAUCCUUCUGAACCAAUCAUUUUUCUUUCUGCCCUCAGGACAUUAUUAUAUAAGUAAAACUCCCAUGAGCUAUCGAUGUCUACAUAUUUCAUAAUCAUGAUUAUGUAAAGUUCUAAACUGUAUUUUCCUAAAGCGGUGGAGUGGUGGUGUUGCAGAUAAAGCAUGACCCAUGUGACCAAAGGGUUGUAGGUUCAACUCUGUUCAGGGACCUGUUCAGGGACCUGUUCUCUCCAUGCCAUCACCAUCAUCAUAGGUUUUGUACGGCAUCUAGAACAUUCAUAGUCGAUGGCACUUCUGUGAAACUGCACUAAAAAAAUACAACAUCGAGAUAGUUUGUGGAAUAACUUUUUAAACGUUUUUUUUUUUUUUUUUAAUGAAAACAUGUCCCUCCCUUGUGACCUUGAUCUUGCUGUGUUCCUGGCAAGUGUCCCACCAGCGGGUGUCAGCAGCGCUGCGACGCGUGCAGAGAUGUGAAGGCUUUAACGAGCAGGAUGCGUGCCUCGCUGCCGGAUCGCCCUGUGGGCUCCACACGCCAGCACACACCGCGACACGGCAGCGCGGUUAAAGGUCCUACCCCUGACACGAUAAGGCAGGAAUGUCAGGUCAUCUGAAAACCAUGAAUUUUCCGCGGUAGCUGCACCACGCAUUUUUUUUCUGCGCCGCAUUGAGAGUCAAAAAGUGAGUAGAGCCACACAGCUAGAGAACAGGCAGAGAACCCGUCUGAUGAGUCAUCGGACAGGUUCGCGAUGUAGCGUGAGAAGGCUUCGUUACAGAAGGCAACCAAGGUCCAAGACCACCGGCUGACCUGAUUCCACGCCAACCCACUGCUCCACAUGGCCCAGAAUCCCAAACCCAGCCCCACAGGUGACUCUUUAAGGUGCUCAGCAUUGCGGCUAACCCUCACCUUUUGGAUUUCCCCAGUGCUGACGGAAGGCACUGACUACUGCCCCCUGUCUACAGCAUGCGGUAUCACACCCAAGCACAUAUGCCUACAAUUUGGCCUGUAAUCAUUACUCUCUGUAAUCAUUACUCUCUGUAAUCAUUACUCUUAGUGUUUCUUCAUCUUUUUUUGACAAACAGGGGCUCUGGGGUUCAUGCAGAGUUUAUAAACACAAAAGGAACCACCGUUAAUCGGGGCCAUUCUUAUCUGGAGUGUCCCGCACUCGAUUAUUGUUCAGUUUUGGGGAUCCUCUUCUAUAGUGCACUGCUAAACACUUUGGGUAAUUCAAAGACACACAUUUGACGGUAGGAGGGAAAACAAAGACCUGAAGGGGACCUGAACAAGAGAAAUAUCAAAAUGGAAACAGAACAGGGGUGUGGUUCGAACCCGACCCUGGAUGUACGAGCCAGCAGUGCUACACGCUACGUGGGCCCAUCUCUACACCCCAGCCGAUUAGCUUAAUGAUGUGAACCACAUGUGGAUUCAUGCAGUUCCUUUGCAGUAUCGGUGAUAAGAGUCGUCAGCACACCAUGUCUAUGAGUGUACAUGCCAGUCGUGGCUCUUCCCUUUGGUCGGUUCCUGCUAUUUUGUGAUCCUCCUGGGUCUCGGGGCACCUGCUCCGCACAAAGCAGAGCCCGCCGUCUCCAUGGGGCUCCUCGGCAACCAGAUCCAACGGCAACGCCAGACGCCCGUCCCAAUUAGUAGCUGCUCGCCCAGGGUGAGGCAUUAAGCUGAGCCUCCCACAUCCCAAAGUGGCAUUCUAGAAGGCUCCGUUACCCCCCCUGAGCCUCAGAACCUGGAACAAACUGCAACAUCUCUGCCGUGUCUGAUAUCAGGCUGCUGCAGAAGACGGCGACUCGAUCGAAAGUUAUUUCGGUACACAGCCAGAUACUAAUCUUUCCACCUUUAUUGAUUGAAAACAGGAUGUUUUAAAAAUUGCUUUAAUAAGAGCAGGGUCCUUCUUUGGAUUAUCAUUCUGCUUUGUAUCCUCACUAAAUCACCCAUAUGAGCUGGACCCCGAGACACAAACAGCCCCCCCCCCUUUUUCUGGCUGGGUCACAUUUUUCUGAUACCCGUGGAAAUCUUCCUGGUGAGGCUGUGAUCUUCCUGCCCAAACCAACAGGCCUUAUAUUUAAUAUUUAUCAUCCGAGAAUCUCUGCUUUCAGCACAAUAGCACCCGUACCAUUCCUUAGACAGGAACUGGCACCAGUGUGAACAUGAUCAAAGUAACUAAGGCAGUGGUAGCUGUGGUUUUGCUCGGCUAUAACGGACACGCAGGCUCCGCCUAUAAGGCGUGUGGCGUGCCGGUGAUAUCCAGCGCAGAUACUUAGGUAAGAUUAUUAAUAGUCAUGCAUCUGGUCAGGUAAAGUUGGAUUACUACAUGUACAAUAUAAUAAUCUAUACCACAAGUGUGUCUGCUGGGGUGUGAUAUGAGUAAAUGGUGUCCUGUAGUUGUGUUCUGGGCUACAACAACUCUGGACAUAACGGACUUUGGAUAUAACAGACUGUCUUGCCAGGUCCCUUGAAGUCCGUUAUAACUGGAUUUUUACUGUAUUAAAAUUCAAAUUCCGCUGACUGAAAUACCUGCAAAUGGACGGUAUUCAGAAGAUCAGUUCAGUAGUGUGUGUCUGCUGCAUCCUAUACAACCUGCCCUACGACCCUGGGGAUCAGCACCCUGACAUAAUAAACAAUGAGGCCCUGGAUGAUGACAUUUAUCCCCCUCAGCCUCUAAAAUGAACAGGCAGUUCAUUACAGAGACACACUAUGCAAUAGCUUAUAAAGGCCGAGCCACAGCCAAACAAACACCUCAGCCUGUUACACGUACAAGCAACUGUUUAUACAUAUUAGCUUAGCCUUCAACACAUUCAUCCCUCAAAAGCUGAUUGUGAAACUGAGUAGGUUAGGGCUGAACACCACUCUCCGCAAGUGGAUUUGGGCUUUCCUGACAGAGAGGCCCCAGUUUGUACAGCCAGGUUGCAGCAUCUCCAACACCAUCACAGUACAGCAGUACAGGAGGUCUGCAGGGCUGCGUACUUAGUCCUCUGCUGUUCACCCCGCUGACUUAUGACUGCAUACAGUAGCAGCACACAACACCAAUCACAUCAUCAAGUUUGCAGAUGAUACAACUGUGCUGAGAUUGAUAAGCAGGGACUGCAUUCAGAAAGGAGGUAGAACGGCUGUCCGCAUGGAGCAGGGACAACAACUUAUCUCUCAGUGCUGAAAAAAGACAAAAGAAAUAAUCAUGGAUUUUUGAAAGACUUCUCCUGUCCAUACUGCCAUCAGCAUGAAUGGGUCAGCUGUGGAGAUCGUAAGGAGUACCAAGUUCCUCGGUGUGCAUAACUGAGGAACUUACAUGAACAGGCACCCCCUCCUCCCUAACCAAGAAUGCCCAGCAUUACACUUCCUGCGACGGCUGAAACGGGCGAGGCUCCUCCCUUCCAUCCUCCACAGAGGCACCGUCGACAUUGUUCUGAGCAGCUGCAUCAAUACCUGGUGCGUCAACUGCAACACGUUCCAUCGCAAACGCCUGCAGAGGACAGUGAAAACAGCAGAGAACACCACCGGGGCGCCUCUCCCUUCGCUACAGCACACAUUUCACAAGCGCAGUGUUUGCAAGGCCUGCGGGAUAGUGCAGGAAUCCUCACAUGGACUGUUCACUCUCCUGAGUAGAGGAGGUUCCGCAGAAUCAGAGCCAGGUCUACCAGGUUGGAGGACAGUUUUUAUCCCCAGGCUGUCAGGCUCCUCAGGCCCCCCUGGAAUCUUCCACACUGCCUCAUUCACUGCUAUGCAGAAUUUAUAUACAUGCACAGGCACUUCACUGUAAUGUCCAGUUUGCACAUAGACCAAAAGUACUGGAAAUCACACACCACCUUUAAAUAUCUCUUGCACAUUGCAUUUGUCACUUUGUCAUGUCUGCGAUAUGAAGAAUCAUCAUUGUUCUGUACCGUGCCUAUUGUUAUUCUUUAGCCGUGAGACAUUCUGACCUGUCAGCUGUUUACACAUGUUCUUAAAUAUUAUCACGCACUGCAUGCCAUGCUGCUAUUCUGAUAAGCCUGAUGUACAUACACUAAGACCAUACAUCGCAUUAAUCUACAUAUUACUUGCUAUAUGUCACACUGCUGCUACUUUUGUGUCUAGGUUUGCACAGUCUUUGUCUUUGCACAAUGUCGUGUUGUGUUUUUCAUUUCUAUUUGCUUUAAGUAUUUGUUACACUGUGGACCCCGAGCUUUGCCGUUUCCUCUCACUGUAUACUUCUCUAUGGUUGAGAUGACAAUAAAGUUCACUUUGACAAAUUUG